This 549-nucleotide ribosomal RNA is filed under the name uncultured bacterium. RNAcentral's name for it is "partial 16S ribosomal RNA". It matches the Rfam family "Bacterial small subunit ribosomal RNA", at positions 355 to 896 of the family's 1533-position model. The record is from RNAcentral.
UGGGGAAUUUUGGACAAUGGGCGCAAGCCUGAUCCAGCCAUGCCGCGUGCGGGAAGAAGGCCUUCGGGUUGUAAACCGCUUUUGUCAGGGAAGAAAUCUUCUGAGUUAAUACCUCGGGAGGAUGACGGUACCUGAAGAAUAAGCACCGGCUAACUACGUGCCAGCAGCCGCGGUAAUACGUAGGGUGCAAGCGUUAAUCGGAAUUACUGGGCGUAAAGCGUGCGCAGGCGGUUUUGUAAGACAGAGGUGAAAUCCCCGGGCUCAACCUGGGAACUGCCUUUGUGACUGCAAGGCUUGAGUGCGGCAGAGGGGGAUGGAAUUCCGCGUGUAGCAGUGAAAUGCGUAGAUAUGCGGAGGAACACCGAUGGCGAAGGCAAUCCCCUGGGCCUGCACUGACGCUCAUGCACGAAAGCGUGGGGAGCAAACAGGAUUAGAUACCCUGGUAGUCCACGCCCUAAACGAUGUCAACUGGUUGUUGGGGAAGGUUCCUUCUCAGUAACGUAGCUAACGCGUGAAGUUGACCGCCUGGGGAGUACGGCCGCAAGGUUG